This 253-nucleotide ribosomal RNA is filed under the name uncultured bacterium. RNAcentral describes it as "partial 16S ribosomal RNA". It matches the Rfam family "Bacterial small subunit ribosomal RNA", at positions 524 to 776 of the family's 1533-position model. The record is from RNAcentral.
UACGUAGGCAGCGAGCGUUGUUCGGAAUUACUGGGCGUAAAGCGUGCGUAGGCGGUGCUAUAAGUUCGGUGUGAAAUCUCCUGGCUCAACUGGGAGGGUGCGCCGAAAACUAUAGUGCUCGAGUGUGGGAGAGGUAAGCGGAAUUCCUGGUGUAGCGGUGAAAUGCGUAGAUAUCAGGAGGAACACCGGCGGUGUAGACGGCUUACUGGACCAUUACUGACGCUGAGGCACGAAAGUGUGGGUAGCAAACAGG